Molecule: long non-coding RNA, 18694 nt
Organism: Equus asinus (donkey)
Lineage: Eukaryota; Metazoa; Chordata; Mammalia; Perissodactyla; Equidae
Source: Ensembl
GUGCUUUGCCCAUUUUUCUAUUUGUUUUUCUUUUCCUUAUUGACUUCUAAGAACUCAUCUGUCAUAUAUCUUGAAAAUAUUUCUUCUGGUUUAUUAUUUGCCUUUAGACUUCAGGAUUUAAAAUUUUUACUUAGCCAAUUUUUAAAAAUCUUUCCCUUUGUGAUUCCCAUAUUUUGUGUCAUACAGUCCCCAAUCCAAGAAUAUAUACAUUUAAAAUCUCUUAUUAAUGUUUUCUUCUAGUAAUUUUAUGAUUUCCUUUUCACUUUUAAACAUUUCAUCCAUCCGGGACUUAUUUCAGAAUAAGGAAUAGAGAACUGAUUUUAUUUUAUUUUUCCUAAACAGCUAGCCAGUUUUCCAAUUUGAUUGAAUAAUUCAUCUUUUCUCCUCUGAUCUAAAAUGUCAAUUUAUCAUAUAUUCAAUUUCCAUUUGUUCACGGUGUCUGUCUGGACACUCUUCUGUUCCUUUGAUCUGUCUGUCUGUUCCUGUGCCAGGACUCAACUGUUUUAUUACUGGAGCUUUAUACAACAUUUUAGUAGCUCUAGUUGCCCCCUAUAAUCCCUCUUUUUCAGAAUUUUCCAAGCUCUUUUUGCAUGUUUAUUUUUCCAGAUGAAUUUUAAUAUAAUCAAAUUCAAAAGAUCUUGUUGUUUUUCACAUCUUCUAACAUGCAAUUUUCUGACUUCUCAGCCCACAGCAGAACAGAAACAAGUCAACAAGAACAAGGUGGGGUGGUCAGCCUGAGGCAGGCAAGGUGAUGGUAGUGGAAAUGACAACUAAUAGGAGGGAGUUGAUGAAGAACUAUAACAAGUAGACACAUCAACUAUUAAAAUGUAGCCAUCAUAGAAUGGGCCUUUAGUGUGGGGCUGAACAAGACCCUGGAUUUUCACUGUAUUACAGCCAGGAUAGUGAUGGACACUUGUAACCACAGCUCUGAGUCAUAAAGACUCACAUGUUCUGCAACCUCUGAUUAAGAAGGCAGGAAAGUGUGUAAUAGCCACUAGUGAUUUCCAUCCAAAAUAUCUCUUUUUAAGGUCUCAGAUAUUAAUGUCUGGAAAACUAGUGUGAAAUGGUUCAUUCUUGAAUGAUGACAGAAGUAUGACAUAUUACUGGUUUCUCUACAGUUUUCUCAAAACCCACCUCCAAAUUCCAAGAAGCUGCCAACUCUGGGAUUUGAAUUCACUCUAUCUGUGGAAACACAGCUGAGGGAAACAUCCUCAGCCUUUCAGCCAGUCCACACACAAUAAUAAAAAAAAAAAAACGGUUUAGCUCUUACUAAGCAUCUGUCUCCAAUACACGAGGCAUGUUAUACGCAGACUACAUUUUAAUCCUCAAUGGCCCCACUAGGUGAAUACUACACUCCCAUUAGACAGGAAACUGAGGCUCAGAGAGAUCAGACUUGGGCAAGUUCAAGUUAACAUGUGACAAAGAACCCUCAGCCACCUUCACUCCCACAUGCCACUAACCAGACCUGUUCAACUCACUGCCAACCACCACAUGAUGUCCUAAAGGCCACCAAUCCUAUUCAGACAUCCCUUUGUAGGGCCUUGCCCAGAGCCUGAAUAGCCAGGAGAGGCCUCAUCCCUGCCUCUGAGUGUCAGCAACGGUGGAAGGAGGUGCCAACCUGGGCCAUCUAGGGAAGGAAGGGACAGACCCCAGGCCACCCACUGACCAGCCCCUGAGAUCCAGGGCUCAGGCAGUGGGGAGGGUGCCUCUGGGACUCAGGAAAUAACUCCAAGGUGAGUACUGCCUGCCAUAGCCUGGCAUGGCCUCCCUACACUCCCUGGUUAUCUCAGGAAAGACUCUGUGUUCACCAUACCAUACCUGUGCCAGCCUGGUCCUGUCCUGGACACCGGAGGGAAUGGGAGUUGUGCAGGUGACAUGCAGAGGGAGGAGGCGGCAGGGAAAGGCACUUCCUUGGGAGUAUCCCAUCCAAGAGGAGAUAAAGGUCAAUGCACUCCUAUGUUUUUCCUUGACAGCCAAUUGUUAAGGCCCUCUAGAGCCCUAAUGGUGCCUGUCAGAGAUUCAGGUAGAGAGAGGUGGGCCCCUGAGGGCCUCCAGGCUCAGAGCUCCUGGGCAAAGGUGGGACUAUAGGGUCAUGAAUCUAGUGUCAUCGACUCUCCCCCCCCCCCCCCCCCCGCGCCGCCCUCCCCACCUCCCACCUGAGUUUGCAGCCCUUUGUGACCCCAGCCCAGGACCUAGCUGACAGUAGAUCAGUGACCCAGACGAAGACGAGGGCAAGGGAACCAAUUCAUUUCAGCACCUAGUCAUCAUGAAGCGCCUACUACGCACAAAGGACCGUGCUGUUGGGGUGGAAUGAAAAGGGGCCCGGGCAGAAGCCACGUUCGCUGGAAGGCGAGCAGAGCGCCACGAGAAGGCCUUGGAGCAGUGGGAACCCCAACGCCCAGCAUCCCCAACUUCGGCGCGCAGAAGAGCCGCGGACUCCGGAGCUCCGCGCGCGCUCCCAGGGUCGGCGCCGCACGCGCACGCGCGCCCGCAGCCGCUCCCCCGCCCGCACAGCUCUGGCUCCCGCGCGCGCGCACUUGAGGCGUCCCUUGUGCGUCUCCUCCAUUCGCUACGUGCAGAAUGGUCCGUCGGCAGCAGCUGCAGCGCCGGGUGGGAGGGGGAGGAGGAGGGGAGGGGAGGGGGAGGCGGCGCCCAGGUCUGGAGGAGGGGCCGCGGCGGGCCGGGCCGGGGAGAGCUGGGGGAGAGGGGCUGCGCGAGAGCCCGGGUGGGCGCGACGCUUCCCCCGCUCGUCUCCUGCUCGCCAUUGCUUCCUUCUGUGAGGCCAUUACGGCCGUCCCCCUGCUCCCUGCCCCGGCGUCCUGGAGCCCAGCCGACCACGAGGGUUUUUCUCCGUGUUGUAUCUUCCCGAAAACCCAGAACCCAAACCCAAGAAAGAACCACUCCUGUUGUCCUCUCUCCCCUCCUCCAGUCCCAAUGACAUUUCCCGGCUUUUGUGUGAGAUGACCCAAAAGCAAGCCCUUCUCCACUCCUCCUCCAUGCAAUGGGGUCCCUAAAAGCUACCCUCACUCCCCUUCUCUCUUACUCACCUGGAGGAAGGGGAAUGGAGAGGAUGGACACCAGAGCCUCCUAUUUCCCAGCAUUUCCACACAGGGAAGGCAAGCAUCUCACCGUGCGCACUCCGACAGGAGGGCAGGAGGGCGGAAAGGUGGAAUAGCCCAGAAGAGCAGGCUGCUGCCCAGGCCCCUAGGCCACAUCCGAAGGACGUAUGUCAGGACCCUCCUAGAUUGGCAUGAAUUCACCCACAUUACGGGGCUGGGUCCUACACACCUGUUUGUAAAGAGCUCCCCAGGAAUGUAGUGCUGAGGGGCCACCAAGGGGUGGAUGGUAUAUCCCUGGAGGAUCUCAAAUAGACAAGUUCCCUGUCCUGCCAGGAAUCCAGAUGUUGCCCAGAUGUCCACAGCAGCCCCUCCUAGAGGGUGGGACACCAGCUAUUCUGUGCAGCCCCUCCCAACCCAUCUCCCAGGGUCAAGGGAGGAAAGCUGGCGACCUCCACUGCCCCUUCCCCAUUCCGGCUGUUGGGAGGGGGCAGCUCCCUCAUCCUGGGUUCACUUCUAAGGCAGUCACCUGAGUUCAGCCUGUGAUCUAACCUCUAGUCCUCUGCUGACAGGUUAAGUCUAGAGCCCCAGGAAGGAGGGCGUCCUGGGUCAGUUUCAUUUCACAUAAACGGACUGUCCCUGGAUCCAGGGAAGCGGAUUCUCCCGUUUCCUCCCCGGUGCCUCAGUCUUUUUGGAGGCGCCCUCUGCUGGCCACUGGGAAGUGCAGGAAAGAACAGAGUCCUGCAGACUCAAAGAGCGUCUACAGAAAGGGACAAGAGGUAGAGGCAACCGGGAGCCAACUGAGAGCGGUGGCUGGACUGCCACAAAUAAGAGAGGCAUGCUGAAGCCUUCUUGGAGGCCCCGUUCCAGACCCAGCCAGGGUGAAGAGGACUCCCAGGGGCGGAGAUCGAGGCCCAGGAGAGAACAGAGAGUAUCCUGCUUUAAUUGGAGGUAAUUAGUUAAUUUACUCUGAAAGCAGUGGGGGAGGGGAGGGGUUAGGGCCUGUGGACUAAUAGGGCUCAAAUUCUCAAAUCCUGGUGAGUCUCUUUCCAGACCAGAGCUGAUCUGAGUGAACCCACACACACAGGAGCGGCAGUCUUUGGCCCCAGGCCAGACGAAGGCCUGGAGCAGACUGGGGUGGCCCUGCAGGAAAAAAGCAGGUGCCCUGGAGUGGGCAGAACAGGCCUUUUGAGGUUAGGCAGGUGGGAACUGGCCUGAGAAGGACUGGGGAGGUGCAGGGGGCUCUGGAAUGGGAACUCUCCUCUGACGGAUAAUUUCAUCCCUCUCAAGGUCAGUGCCCCCCUCCCCAAGUUAGGGUCCCCAUUCUGAGUCAGUGGGCUCCCUGGGCGGCUCAUCCUAAGGGAAACAGGGCCGAAGGCUAACUUCAUUCACUGCCUCCUGCUUCAGGAAACCAUUCCAAUCACCGGGAAAGGGGCGUCGGAGGCUAGAGCCCCUGCCGGGCCCCCGGGGGCGUGUCGUCGGCCCGACGCGUCGCCGGCCAGCGGCGUGGCGAGGACUCUGGCCGGCAGCCUCCCGCGCCGUCAGGAGCAGCUGACUCGCUGGCGGCGGGCCAGGUCGUGGCGGGGCCGGGAGGCAGCAACGUGCGGCGCGGCAUGUCGCGGGCUCAGCGGCGGGGAAACGUGGGGGCGGGCCCGGCGCGCCGCCCCCCCCACCCCACGCAGGCCCAUUCAUAAAACCCGCGGGCGCUGCCGGGCCUGGCAGCCUGGACUCCUAAUUGCAAACUCAUUAAGGAGUUUGCAUCUCAUUUGCAUGGAAAUCAUUUCCUGGCCCUAAACAGACGAAUGCCCCCUUCCUUCAGCCCCCUUUGCCCCGCUCUACCCAUCCACAGUCUGGGAGGGGAGAGGGGCCUGUCUCUGCCCUGUGCCCCCUCCUUUGCCUCACCCCUCCCAUCCCCCUGGUGAGGAGUGGGGCAGGGGGGUUGGCAGAGCACCCACCUAGCUGGGAUUCCUACCUGGGCCGCAGGUGAGCCGGCUCUGCCCCAGUGGGUCCAAGCGAGGGGAGGUGCCCGCCAAGUCAUUUGCCCCCCGGCCUGGCCAUGCCCAGGGAAGGGAGGAGGCGGCUGGCGGCUGGCCGCAGCAGCUGGUUGUACCUGGCAGGACUAGGGCUGGUGGGUGAGGCUGUUCGUGCCCAGCCUCACGUACAUGCUUAGCCACAGGCUGUGCUCCCACCCCCACACCCCUCGCCCCACAGAACAAGCGCCCAGUGACUACAGAAACAGACACCCAGUCACGGCGCACAAAGGCACCCACACCGGGCCGGCCAUCAUGGCCGCCGCCCUGGCAGCUACCCUUGGGGGCAGGCAUAUGCCUUCACAAGCCAUUUGGUCCUUCUUCAGCGCCCUGCCAGGGUUGGGGGGAAGGGGCUUCUCUUGAGACUUUUCUGAGUAAGGGGAGCUAGUAGAGGAGCUCUCUUCUGUAUCCCAGACGCAGCUUCUUCCCCUCCUCUUCUGCAACCCAUAUUCAUGGAGGCCCCAGGUGCUGCACCCUGCGUGAGGACGUGCCCAGGCACAGGGUUGCAGGGCCCUCCAACCCAGAAGGGGCAGCGGAGGAGGAAGCCCCUGAGGAAGGAGCACCUAAGUGCCUCCCCAGUGGGGCCCUGUCCUUCCUGUCCCAAAUGUGUGUAUGCUCCCCAACUUCCAGGACGGGGGGAACCUUGUAAACUGUUGGAAAUGGACUAGAAUUACCUAAAGCACAUGAAAUCAGAUUCUACUGGGGACAUAAUGUCCUGGUUCUAUAUAUCCUGAGACAGUUUAAAAAGUAAUCACAAAACUUGUAGCAUUAGGGUCUAAAACAAAAACCUCCUUCUUGUCCAAAUCAUCUGGGUCCCUCCCCAGACAUAGCCCUGCUUAUGCUUCCUGUCUGCCCACACUCCCACCUGCUGCCCCUGAAGUUUCUCCCUUCCCUUGCUAGAGCAUGAAGAGGUGGGCAAGGAUGUUCUGGAACACUGACCAUAGUCCAUCCUGAAUGGAAUUGGACUGACUCGACCCUCUCAUCUCCUGGAGCAGCUGGGUCUAAAGUGUGUGUGCACGGGUACAGACGUACAGGAGGAAAAUAUUAGGACGUCGGUGGGUGUUUUCAUUUCAUCCCUUUUUCAUUUAGUGUGAGUGUGUCUUAAUAUAAAACUAUGUUUAUGUUACAGGUGCAUGCUUAACAAUUUUUUUAUUGCUACAGAGCACGAUCAAAAAAACUUUGGAGACCACUGGUCUAGGCUUAUGGUGGGGUGGUUGCACAUGGGGGAUGGCUUGUCUUGUUCAUCUUAGUAUCUGUCCUGAGAAAUGGUCAGCUCAGAGCCUGGCAGGGGGCAGGGGGCAGGAGGCAGGGACAGAGACAGAGUGUUGAAUGAACAAAGUCCACCCCUAGAACUGACAGGUGAGCAAACUGAAAUAACUCUGGGUGGGGAGUUUGCUCAGAGGAGCAUAUAGGCAGGUGGAGGGAGCCUCUCAUUGCUGCUGCGUCUGCAGCCUGCCCAUGCCCAACACCCAGCAUGCACCCAAACCCACUUCCAGCCACCCCAGUGAGCGCAGCACCGUCCUCUGCCCGCUGGCAGCGUGGCCUGUCUGAGCUCCUCACUAGCUCCUGACUGGCACAGCCAGGCAGGGUUGCCACCUGCCAUAUCCUCUCUUAACCUGGUGCGAAACCUAUUGGAGGUUUCCUAUCCUAGAACUCUCUGGAAGCUAACCUGGUGUAGGAGAAAGAAUUUAGGCUCCACAAGUACUCAAUCCUUUUCCAGCUGGGCUACCUUGGGCCCAAGACAUAACCAGUAUGAGCCUUGGUUUCCCCAUCUGUAACAUGGGACUCAUAAUCAUACUCUAUACAUAAACAACCCUAUACAGAGUUGUUGUACAUAUUGAAUGGCCUACUGUGUGUACAGGGUCUGGCACAUAGUAGGUGUUCAGUAAGAUUCUUACCUCCUUUGUGCAGCAGGUGCCCCAUAAAGAACCUGUUGAACUGUGAUUUGCCGUGAGCAUGGGAAGGAGAAUUCUGAAGGCAGACCGAUGAACCUUUGCAGAACACCUUCCUGCAGAAAUUAACAGCCACCUCAGCAGCCUGGGGUCCUCUCCAGGCUCACCCACUCCCUGGAGGGGCAUCCCAUCCCCACCUUUUUUCCACCCAGCUCCUGUUUCUUUUUCUGCGCUGCGUUCACUUCAAGUAUGAGCCAAGGGUGACACCUGGUGGCCAUUUCUGUAGCUGCAGAACCCAGAGCGGAGACACCCAACAACAGGAGGGGCGUGAGGUGAGGUCCCGUGGGUGAAGGAGCCAUUCUUUCCAGCACUUUCCCUGCACCUCCUAACUCCCUCUCAGGGCCCAGGGAACAUCCAGGAUGCCCACUCCUCAUUCUGCCUUAGAGCAGCCCCUCCUCACUCCCCCUGAGAACAGCCUGAGCUCUGAAGGUUGCACCUGCCUGAUGAGCAGGGUGACCAAGGAGGCCUCUGCUCAGACCCUGCCCUGGCCCCAGGCAGAAGGCAAAAGGACAAUGGCUACCCUUCCCCAAGUGCUGCGGGCCAAUAGGCAUCAUCUCAUUCAAAUCUUAUCACCAGGGCCUAUUAUGACAACAGAGAAACCAGGUACAGCAAGGUUAAGCAACCUGCUCCGGGUCACAUGGUUCCUAAGUGCCCAAAUGAUGAAAUGAGUGGAACACCUGGCAAGCCUCUGGGGGACAGAGGAGGCCAAAAGGAAGUGGCCUGCCAUUGGGUUAGAAGUGCCAAAUUCCAAUCCAGCCUUGCCCAACAAGUAGAGUGACCUCCUUCAAGGGCCUUCUGCUGGCUGAGCGCCAGUCUCCUUGAUGGUACCAUGCGGUGUUCGAUAGAGCCGUGAUUCUCAACUGACUGUAUGCAAGAAUCACCUGGGGAGAAUGUUUUAAAUACCGACGCUUGCCCCGGCACUGGCUGAUGAAAUCAAUAUCAGUAGGAGUGGGACCGAGGUAUAGGUAUUUUCAAAAUCUUUUUAAAUGACUCAACAUGAAGCCAGGGUUGAGAAGGAGGCCUCUGGGAGAUUCCAUCUUCAGAUCUCCCUGCACUCCAGAGGUCAGCCCCUGAGGCCUCCCUGCUGCCCGGAGGGCUCACCAGAGAAACAGCCCUCUCUCCCCCAGCAUUCCCUGGACAUCUUAACUGGUCCGCCCAGACCCCCAGGACAAGCUGCCUCCCCACCCCCUGGGCCUUCAGGGAGAAUACUGGCUAUCAGUCCUUCCCAGAGGGGGCUCAGCAGGUGUGACCCCACGCCUGGCCUCUGGGGUGGGGGCAUGGAAGGCCACUGGGAGCUUAACCCCAACAGGAUGAAGGCGCCAUAAUUAGGGUCAGGCGGUUGGCUCAGCCUGCGGAAAUCCCCAGCUUAGUAGGGAUGGGGGUGCUUCAGCCUGGGAAGGGGGGUCAGGGCAGAAGUGAGGGGGCAGAGGAGCUCAGGCAUGUGGAAACCCCAGGGCCUAGCCCCUAGCCACCUCCUGAAAGGGCCCUCUAGAAGCUCAACACCGUUACCCCCCCACCCUGGACUCACUGACCGCCCAGGGAGGGAGGGACGGGACGGACCAGCCCCCCAACCCCAGCAGCCCUGCUGCUCCCGUCAGGCUGGGGUGUGCCAGGAUCAUCCCCCUACUCUGGCGUUUGGUGGGAGGACGAGGGCACCGGUGGGAAAGCACUAAGUGAGCGUUCCCAGGGCAACGCAGGCUUCUCUCCAGCCUGUAAUCCUCAGGCCUUGAGUGAGGGAUCACUUUCCUCUGUGGAAUGUAACACGGAGGGGACAAAAGGGGGCAGAGGGAUGGGGGAGGGGGAGGGAAGAUGCCAGGGAAUGAACUUUGCUGGGGGUACUUUCCAACCCCCAAAAGGCCCUUCAGGAGGUGGCAGCUGCAAAGAGAGAAGUCACCCCCAUCUCCAGCUCACCCCAGGGCACAAGGUCUCCGGCUGGGCUGGCCAGGUAGCUCACAGCAGACCCUGCGUCCUAACACUGGGUGCCUGGGUGAUCACCUUUGCUAACCACUCAUUUGCAGAGGAGGAAAUGGGUUCUGAGAGUUUAGAACCGGCCAAGGUCAUGCAGCUCAGAGCCCCACCUAGAAGCCCCAGCUUUCCAAGAGACUGGCCGAGUGAGCCAGCGAGCACUGAAACCUGUAGGCUCAGGAGUUCCCAUGCUCACCUGGGCUGGAGUCCCUCUGCUCCCACAGCAGGACACCCCUCCUUCCUGCCCUCCUGGGUCAUGGGCUGGGCAUGGCGGGACAAGCAGAGGGCAAGUGCCUGCUCGUCACCACAAGCCUGUGAUGGCUGGGACCAGGGGCCAGCCCAGUGACUCCCACAUUGAGAUUCAACACUGAUUCCUCCAGGAAGCCUUCCAGGCUGAUCCACAAAGGGCUAGCUGUGCCCCCCACAUCCAGCCUUGACUUCCCAAAAGGUAUCCUCCCCUCCCCUACCUCACCUCUGGCCCAUCACAUAGGUUCUACAUGGGUCUCAGUUCUGCAAACUGUGGGCUCUCCCCAUACUUUGACCCAGGAACCCCUGAGGGCAGGACCAUGGGGGCAAAGACAGUGCUGUGCCCAGCCCAGCACCAGCCGCAGGGAGACUUGAGAGACAGAGGGUCUUAGAAAGGGGGCAGAACUCAUCUCACGUCACAGAACCUGGAAAGGACCCACAGUGGGAAGUCACUUCAGAAGUCAUCUGGUCCAGCCCCGCCAUGGCCUUCCAGUUGGGGGUCAGCCUCCUGUGUUAAUGCCUAUAGAGAUGGACAUCUCUUCAAGUAUUCAUUCGCUCAUUCAUUCAUCCAACGAACCUCACCCAGCCACCUCCUACCUCUCAGGGGCUGAGGCAACCCAGUCCAUUUUCAAGAGCAUAGGCUAAAUCCUUAACAAAUAGAAUCAGAGGCCUACGGACCACCCUUCCUGGGCCUAGUGCUAAGUGGAAGUAGAACUUGCUGCUUGGCAACACCCCUGCACACAUUUGUGUUGCCCUGUGGCAUUAAUGCAGCGUUUGCAGCCCCACGUUUCCCUUCAGACUCAUGACAACCGUCCCAGGUGGUGUUGACCCUCCUUGACGGGGAAGCUGCGGCUCAGAGAGGAGGAAUGACUGCAGCUGGAAGAGAGGUGGAGCCAGGACUCAGCCUGCAUGGCUGCACCGUCAGCCCGGCACUCACUUUACACCCACCCUGGCCCUCCACAGGCUGGGCUUUCAGGUGGAAGACAAGCCUUGCCCAGGGGGAAAGAAAAUGUGAGUUAGGCUCCUAACUAUCAAAAUAAUAACGGUGAAGACAAGUCAGAGGCCUGCUGGGUUCCAGACACUGUGCAGGCGAGUCAGGUGUUGAACCCAGAACUCCUACCCCCACUCCUCUGGGGCCAGUGCAAUGCCCUGGGCUACACAGCCGGCACAUGCACGUGUGCACACACACACCCCCAGGUGGUAUGAGUCCCUGCAUGUCCCAGGGGACAGGGUGUCCCAGCCGCUUCGCUCCCCUCUGAUAACCCAGCCGCUUCCAGCAGGACAGGCACAUACCCUUCAGGCUGACCACAUUGGGCACAUGCCAGGCCAGCUGCCAGGGCCCUGGUCUCCACCCCACUGGACCCUAGAGGAUGACCUCCUCCAUGGCUGACGCUGCUCAACCUCAGGAAGGGGGGUGACUCCCCAGGAUGUGAGGCCUAGAGCCCCCCCAAGCCCCUCCUCAGAGCCAGCAUGUGCUGCGGGGCUGAAGCCUAAUGAGGAGUCUCAGGGAUCCCCCUGGCUUUGUCUGGGCACCAGCCCCUUGGCACACUCCAGGGAGAUGCAGAGGAACAAGGAGAGGCACAAGAGGGGCCAACAGGACUCCAGCAGGAAAGGGGUGGUGGGGUGGGUGGUAGAGGGGGAAGCAGGAGUGAAUCAGAAAGGUGGAGGCAUCUGUGUGAGGUCAAGGUUUGGAACCAAGGAGAAGUAUGGAAAAGGCUUGGCCAAGGACUGCUAACAGGGCAGCUGGAACUUAGGAAAGGGAAGACCUCUGGGGGCGUGGGAGGAGGUCAUCAAGAAAUGGACCCUGGAGCAGGCAGAGCUUAUAAGCUGGGUGCCCUUGGGCAGGUGGCUUGCUCUCUUUGAGCCCCUCAGUAUCAUCUGCAAAGUGGGAAUAAAAAUCGUACUCCCCUCACAGACUUGUGGGAAGUAAAUGAGGUCUUGGGUGUAAAACACCGCAGAGCACCUGGCACCCAGGACUGCUCAAUUCACAGGGGCUGUACUGAGGAGGCCCACAGGGCCGGGAGAGCAAACCCUGAACAAUAAGCCACACCUGCCCUGGGGCUGUUAGGAAGGGGUUUACAGAGCAGAGAGGCAGGGGGCCUGGGGCCAUGGACCCCCGGUAACCUCUGCCCUCAAUGCCCUUGUCCCUUGAACGGUAUGAGGGACAAAUAAGAAGGUAAGACAGCCACUGCUGCCAUGGUGGCAGCGUUCUGGAGGAUUCUGGAGGGUCCUGGGAGAACUGCUCUUCGCCCCAUGCCCUCUUCAUUCACAUGAGGGGGUGGAGGUCCAGGGCGGGAUAGGGACUCACCCAGGGUCACUCUGAGAAUGAGGACAGAAGGCAGGUCUGCUAACCCCCAAGCCAGCCUCCUCUUCUUUGUAAGGCACGCUGUCUCCUGUCCAGAAGGGGAAGCCAGGGGCGAAGAUCCCUCAACCCCGUGAAAGGGAGAGAACUAGAAACCACGUUCCCUGGAAAUGGAGAUGAGAAGCUCCACUCCUCUUCCCACUCAGAGCUUUAACUAAGACCCUGCUGAGGCCUGGUGAACACUUACACUUCCUCCAAAGACCAAACCAAAGACACCCGCUCUGGGAAGCCCUCCCAGUGAUGGCAGCGGUUCCAAGCUGUGUCCUGCAGUGGCCUCUCUUUGAGGCUUUGGCCUAGCCACCACCCUGGUCAGUGCACACGUUGUUUCCCCCCAAUGAGCUGGAGUUUUUGAGCCCAGGGGCAUGGUCUUAAGCAAGUUGGAGGCCCCGACACCACGAUCCAGCCUAGCACAGGUGUAUUUAGAAUGAAGGAAUCCUGACCAGUUGGCCCCAGACCCACCAGGGGCAAGGGUGACCGACGGGUAGGGACGGGGCUCUGGGGCAGCUGCCAUCCUGUGCUGGCCAGUCCCUCCCUCCCCCAUACCUGAGCCCUGUGCUAAGAGCAAGUUCCUGGUGCAGGCUGUACCCUGUCCUGGAUGCCUGGCAUUUACCAAAAGGGCAGAGACAGUGAGAAGGGCCUCCCCUGUGCCAUCCUCUCAGAAAGGAGACAGGGCAGCAGGCAGGAGGGAAGGGAGUUAGGUUUCAAAGUGCCCGAAGAUGACAGAAUGACAGAGGAUGCUCACCAUGUCCAAACCGACAAAGGAUUAAUAUCUAGACUAGAUGACACAAGGAAUGUCUGCCGAGCAACAGGAAGACAGCAACCCUACCCCAAAAGGGACAAGACAUACAAACAGGCAGUUCAAGGAGACAGACCCUAAAGCUAACAAGCACGAGAAGAGGUGCUGAAAAUCACCACUUUACCUCUGGUAGAUGGGCAAAAAUGAGAAAGCUGGAUAAAGCCCAGCGCUGGUGGGGAUGUGGGGACACAGGAGCCCUAUGCCCGGUGAUGUAGGCUAGGCAGCCACUGUGGACUCGGGUUGGCCACGCUUAGUCAAAUGAAACACAGUGAGCGCUGUGACCCAGCGGCUCCACUCACGAAUACAGCCUCGGAAUCAGCCUGGUCCCUACAAGCCAGGAAGGGGGAGUCAUGCCGCUUGUUCAUGGUGGGGAACAGAAAAUUGUGGAGCGGCAUCACAGGGUACAAUGCAGCAGUUUGAAGUAACAAGGCUAGAUUUUUUAAACAGUGCUGAGUGAAGGAGACCUAUAACACAAUGACAUUUACCAAAGUUGAAAAAAAAAAAAACAUGUUUACAAAACAGCAGCCCUCAUUUGCAGAAAUAUUUGCAUCAAAUACUAUGAGGGGAGAAGGGAAGCAUGUGGAAAGAGGGUGAAAAGGAAUAAACACACAAACGAAACAAGAAAGGCCAGUGAUACCCAUGCACCUGCCGUGAACUGAGACUAACUCUGCACCUGCGGGCUGUGAAGGCAGACCAUGCCCCAGGCCCUCAGCACAGGCUCUCGGCUGGAGCCAGGAGCCCACGUGCAUGAGGGGCAGAAAUGGGCUGACCUCAGAGGUCACCUCUCCCACCACCCCCCACCACCAGCAAGGGAGGGUCUUGGCCAAAGUCAAUCCACGGCAGACUUGAAGCCCCACCCAGCUUGCGUGGCUUUUGUGCCCUGGAAAUGGAAGUAGAAGGAACCUCAAACCUGGAGCAAUGGGGCUUGCCUGAGCUGGUUGCAAGGAGGAAAUGAGAAGCAUUUGCCUUCACAAAAGUCUCUGUAAUUAAGGGUUUUUCUUUCUUUUCUUUAAGGAGAGUCCUUAUCUUUAGACACAUUCAGAAAUGUCUGUGAAAUGAUAUGCUGUCUGCAGUGUGCUUCAAAAUAAUCUAGGGGGGCCGGCCCAGUGGCCGAGUGGUUAGGUUCGCGCGCUCUGCUUCAGCGGCCCAGGGUUUCACUGGUUCAGAUCCUGGGCGCAGACAUGGCAUCCCUUGUCAAGCCAUGCUGAGGCAGCAUCCCACAUGCCACAACCAGAAGGACUCACAACUGGAAUAUACAACUAUGUACUGGGGAGAGUACUUUCGGAAGAAGAAGAAGGAAAAAGUUAUCAUAGUCAUCAUCAUCAUCUAGGGUGGGGCGGGAGAGUGUGGGUGGCGGGAUUGAUGAAAUCAGAUUGGCCAUGAAUUGACACUGCUGAGUCUGGGAAUGGGUGCAUGGAAGUUCAUUAUGCUUUACACUCUACUUGCAUGUCUGUUGGAAAGUUUCUAUACUAGAAACUUAAAAAAGGAAAGUUUCCAAUAAGAAAGUCUCCCAUGUGAGGAGACUGGUUUCUGACUUCAAGGAGCCCCAAUGUGAUAGGGGAGACACAGCCUUCUGCCCUCUGUGUGGCCAAGGCUCCCUGCAUCUUCUCAGCUCACCCUGCCGGCCAUGGGCCACACGUGAGAAAGAGGCACGAUCUCAGCACCAAAGCCUGGCCUCCCAGACCUGGCCUUUGUCACUGAGGCCCAAGGGUCAGGCACUGGAACCACAUCUAAGCAGAUCUGGUUCCAGUUCUGGCUCCACCUGCCCAUGGCCCUAAGCUCCUCACCUUAACAGCACCUGCCUGGAACGGAGGAAACACCCAGUGAGGCCAGCUAUUAUCAGGGGGGAGAAGUCUCCACUGGCCCAGCCCCUCCCCAACCAAGUCUCUCUGUUCUUGUUGUGGUUGCUCACCUCUGGCUGCCUCUGCCUCCACGUCCAUGUAAUGAGGACCAGAAUCACCAGGUGAGUUUGAGCAUUACAUGAGGCGAUGUUUCAUGAAUGGUCUUACUGUCACCAGGACCAGGGGAGGGAGCUGGUCAGAAUCACACAGCCAGGUAGUGACAGAGCUGGCUUAGUCACAGAUGCAUGACACUGAGCCAGCUGCCAACACCCCGUCACCAUGAGGCCCGUAGGCUGGUAGACAGAGUGUCCUCGUUCAGAAUCUGGGGUGGUGCCCUUGGGACCAUUCCAUCCAGCCCCUAGUCCCACUCCCAGAGCCUCUCACUCAGGGGAGCACCAGGGACGCUGUAUGGGUGAGAUGCAAGCCAGGAAGGGGAGGGCUUGGGAAAGAGGAAGACAGAAGACUUUAUCCUGCCCUCUACGAACACAGAAGGGUCCAGGGACAUCCGUCUGGAAGAGUGUGUCCAGACUCAGGGGCUCUAUCAGGGGCUGCAGGGUGACUCCUAGGUGAGGGGUGGCAGCCUGGCCUGGACUCUCCUUUCGUGACAAUAGUAAUAGUAAUAGUGGAUGCUUGUAUAGUUCCUACUAUGCACCAGGCAGUGUUCUAUCUGCCUUAUGUAUAUUAUCUCAACUAAUUCUCACAGCCAUCCUAAGAGGCCAAUGCUAUUAUUGUCCCUGUUUUACAGAUGGGGAAACUGAGGCAUAGAGAGGCUCAGUAACUUUCCCAAAGUCUCUCAGCUUGUAACCAGCAGAGCUAGGAUUUGAUCCGGGGCAGUCUGCCUUGAGUCUGUGCUCUUGACCACCCCAAUGCACUCUCAGAGAGGGACAGACUGGCCUCUCCUAAGACAGUACUUCUGAUUCCUGAGGGAUCUGGUGGUUGUUGAUGUGUGCGUGUGCAUGUGCAUGUGUGUGUGUGUGUUGGGGGGCUCAACCACAAAGGGGUACGGGCCAAUGGCCACGCCUCCUUCCCCCAUGGGAGCCUGAGGCACCUGUCCCCCAUCUGCCUCCUGGGAGCUCAGAGGGUGGGGAGACCAGGCAGAGCAGCAGCUGGUACCCUCUUUACCCCGUGGACGGGCCCUUCCCCCGGGGCAGCCAGCGCUGGCACUGGGGCAGGACUUCUAUGUGUCUCCUGCUCUGGAAAGCAGAGUAGAAAGUAAGUGAAUGACAGGAUCAGAGGCAGGCUUGAAUUUACUCUUUUUCUUCUUAAUUUAAAUCUUUCACAGAAAGUUGACCAAAAUCAGUAACUAAUUACUUGUGAAACUCCCUCACAGCCACUCACAGCGCAGCCCUGGGGAAUGUCUGUCCUUUCUGGGAUGGGAGCAGCUGAGGCAUUCCCUGCUCCCUCCCCCUGAAGCUCGUCCCUCUGCAAAGAAAUGGCACCUAAUACAGAGGUCAGGAGCUGGGUCUUUGGAGGCAGACAAAGCUGAGCUCAGGGUGAGUACUGCCUCUUCCAAGCUGUGCCACCCCCACCACAUAUUAGUUAAUCUCUCUGGGCCUCAGUCUUCUCAUCUGUGAAGUGGGAGUGGUGAUACUGUCCCUCACAGAGCUGUUAAAAGGUUUAAAUGAAGUCACGUAUAUUGAGUGUUCAGCCUGGUGCCUUACUCGCAGUACGUGCGCCACAUUGGCUAUGAGCUUUACUGCUGCUGUCAGGACCAGCCCCAACCAAGCUGUGAGCUCCUUUGGGGAAGGAAUUGCAUCUUGUUUCUCUUUGUCUAUCUCAGCAUUUUCUUUUUUGUUUGUUUGUUUUCUGCUUUAUCUCCCCAAACACCCCCUGUACACAGUUGUAUAUCUUAGUCGCAUGUCCUUCUAGUUGUGGGAUGUAGGAUGCCACCUCAACGUGGCCUGACGAGUGGUGCCAUGUCCGCGCCCAGGAUCCGAACCCUGGGCCGCCGCAGCGGAGCGCGCGAACUUAACCACUGGGCCAGCGGGAGACAGCCCCUAUCUCAGCAUUUUCCACAGGACUCGGCCCCCAGCAGGUGCUCUGUGUCUUUGGUUGAGUUCCUUAGAAACAGAUCCUGAGAUGGGGCCCUCCUGGCUAAGUGCUCCCAGGGGACAGGAGAGGGCCUGGGGGAAGCAAAUGGAAGAGGAAGAGGCCAACAAGGGUGCCGAGGAUGGUUUCUGCCUGUCCCACAGGACUCUGGAGUGUAAGAUACACCUCAGGGUUGUCCCCAUGCCAGACAGGGGAACUGGGCCUUCUCUCACCUGCACCCCAGUCACUGGCUAAGGGCCACCUUGGGGGAUAAACUUCCAGGCACUUCCGCCAUGCUCUGGUAGCUGAGUGCAGUCUGCAGAGAGAGAGCGCACAGCAGGGAACACACACGGAGGGCAGGGAGGGUGCACAGAAACGGAAAGGGGUCUCAGGGGAUCUGCCAUGCUCCAUAAAUAUCUUCUGGGUUGAACAGAAUCAGCCCCGGACCAGCCUCUGAAGGGUUCUGGUUCCCUGUGGAGUCGCGGGUGGUGGAGGCAGGGGGGCGGGGGCUGCCAGGCAGAGGGGAGCAGCUCUAACUACCCUGCAGAGUCCCAGCUGGUCAGAGCCAGGAGGGUCCCCCCAGUGGCCAGCCUCUCCCCUGGCUGAGCAAGGGCAGGCCUGGGGCUGCCUGAGAUGGCCUUGAGAGCCCUGACUAUGUGCCGGGCACGGAUGCCAAGUUCUUUGCAUGACUCACCCAUGUCUUCCUCACAACCACUCGAGGUAGUGUCCUGAUUCAGACAUGAGGAAACUGAGGCAUGGAGAGGCUGAGGGACCUGCUGGAGGCGCCCCAAAGAGUCAAGGGCAAAGAAAUCAAUGCCAUUAGUCAUUAGGAAAAUGCAAAAUAAAAAACCCACAAGAUACCACUUCACACCAGUAGGAUGGCUAUAAAAAGGAAAAUAACAAGCUGGCAAGGAGGAGGAGAAAUUGGAACCCUCACACACGGCUACUGAGAAUGUAUAAUGAUGCAGCUGCCGUGGAAGACAGUCUGGCUGUUCCUCAAUAAGUUAAACAUAGAGUCACCAUAUGACCCAGCAAUUCCACUCCUUGUAUGUACCAAAAGAAUUGAAAACAGGUGUUCAGACAAACCUUGGACAAGAAUGUUCAUAGCAGCACUAUUCGCAAUAGCUGAAAGGUAGAAACAACUUAAAUAUCCAUUAACUGAUGAAUGGAUAAACAAAAUGUGGUCUAUCCAUACAAUGGAAUAUUAUUCAACCAUAAAAAGGAAUAGAUUUGGGGCUGGCCCAGUGGCACAGUGGGUAAGUUCACACAGUCCGCUUCGGUGACCCAGGGUUCACCAGUUUGGAUCCUGGGCACGGACCUACGCACCACUUGGCACGCAUGCUGUGGCAGGCAUCCCACAUAUGAAGUGGAGGAAGAUGGGCACGGAUGUUAGCUCAGGGCCAGUCUUCCUCAGCAAAAGAGGAGAAUUGGCAGCAGAUGUUAGCUCAGGGCUAAUCUUCCUCAAAAAAAAAAGAAUGGAAUACUGAUACACGGUACAACAUGGAUGAACCUGGAAAACAUCAUGCUGAGUAAAAGAAGCCAGACACCAAAGACCACAUAUUGUAUGAUUCCAUUUAUAUGAAACGUCCAAAAUAGGCAGAUUCAUAGAGACAGAAAGUCGAUCGGUGGUUGCCAGGGGUUGGGGGAAGAGGAACAGAGAGUGACCACUUAAGGAGUGCUGGAACAAGAUAGUGGCGAUGGUCGCAGUGAAAUGAACUGAACUGUACACUUAUAAAUAGUUAAAUGGUAAAUUUUACGUUAUAUGUAUUUUACCACAAUUUUUUAAUAAGUUUUUAAAAAAGUGACUUAAGGGCAGAGCCUGGAUCACACCAGUUCUUGAUCCUUCCCUCCACGGGGCCUGGGAGCGGCCGACACAGAGUCAGCCACAGUGUUUCGGGAUGGACAGAACAAAUAGAACACAACUCUACUGGACGCUGUGCUGACACAGAUAUGGGACUCAAGUUGUCUGUAAACAUUCCUGUGACUUGGCCUGCUGCAGAAAUAAAAGCACUAGCCUGGAGUUCUGACACACCCGGAUAUAAAUGCUGGCUCCACCACCGGCUAUGUGAACUUGGACCCACACUGUGCCUUUCUGGGCCUCACUGUUCUCAUCUGGAAAAUGGAGCUAAGAAGAAGAGGCCCUCCGGGUUGUUGGGAGAAGUCAGUGAGUUAACACAGGUGGAAAUGCCCUGAGCAUGGCACCUGACACACAGGGAGGGCUCAGCAAAGGCUGGUCUCUUUUCUCCCUCUCCUUUACCCACAUAGGCCCUUGACCUCUAUCCCUGCCAGACUCCACCUGGACAAACACCCUCCCAGAGGUUGGACGCACACAGCAACUCUUGUCCAGGUUCCUUGAUGGACCCUGCCCAUGGGACGUUUGCAAAUUCCAAAGAGAAAACUAGUUAAUCUGUAGAAAGC